GGGUUGUGAGGUUAAGCGACUAAGCGUACACGGUGGAUGCCCUGGCAGUCAGAGGCGAUGAAGGACGUGCUAAUCUGCGAUAAGCGUCGGUAAGGUGAUAUGAACCGUUAUAACCGGCGAUUUCCGAAUGGGGAAACCCAGUGUGAUUCGUCACACUAUCAUUAACUGAAUCCAUAGGUUAAUGAGGCGAACCGGGGGAACUGAAACAUCUAAGUACCCCGAGGAAAAGAAAUCAACCGAGAUUCCCCCAGUAGCGGCGAGCGAACGGGGAGCAGCCCAGAGCCUGAAUCAGUGUGUGUGUUAGUGGAAGCGUCUGGAAAGGCGCGCGAUACAGGGUGACAGCCCCGUACACAAAAAUGCACAUGCUGUGAGCUCGAUGAGUAGGGCGGGACACGUGGUAUCCUGUCUGAAUAUGGGGGGACCAUCCUCCAAGGCUAAAUACUCCUGACUGACCGAUAGUGAACCAGUACCGUGAGGGAAAGGCGAAAAGAACCCCGGCGAGGGGAGUGAAAAAGAACCUGAAACCGUGUACGUACAAGCAGUGGGAGCACGCUUAGGCGUGUGACUGCGUACCUUUUGUAUAAUGGGUCAGCGACUUAUAUUCUGUAGCAAGGUUAACCGAAUAGGGGAGCCGAAGGGAAACCGAGUCUUAACUGGGCGUUAAGUUGCAGGGUAUAGACCCGAAACCCGGUGAUCUAGCCAUGGGCAGGUUGAAGGUUGGGUAACACUAACUGGAGGACCGAACCGACUAAUGUUGAAAAAUUAGCGGAUGACUUGUGGCUGGGGGUGAAAGGCCAAUCAAACCGGGAGAUAGCUGGUUCUCCCCGAAAGCUAUUUAGGUAGCGCCUCGUGAAUUCAUCUCCGGGGGUAGAGCACUGUUUCGGCAAGGGGGUCAUCCCGACUUACCAACCCGAUGCAAACUGCGAAUACCGGAGAAUGUUAUCACGGGAGACACACGGCGGGUGCUAACGUCCGUCGUGAAGAGGGAAACAACCCAGACCGCCAGCUAAGGUCCCAAAGUCAUGGUUAAGUGGGAAACGAUGUGGGAAGGCCCAGACAGCCAGGAUGUUGGCUUAGAAGCAGCCAUCAUUUAAAGAAAGCGUAAUAGCUCACUGGUCGAGUCGGCCUGCGCGGAAGAUGUAACGGGGCUAAACCAUGCACCGAAGCUGCGGCAGCGACGCUGAUGCGUUGUUGGGUAGGGGAGCGUUCUGUAAGCCUGCGAAGGUGUGCUGUGAGGCAUGCUGGAGGUAUCAGAAGUGCGAAUGCUGACAUAAGUAACGAUAAAGCGGGUGAAAAGCCCGCUCGCCGGAAGACCAAGGGUUCCUGUCCAACGUUAAUCGGGGCAGGGUGAGUCGACCCCUAAGGCGAGGCCGAAAGGCGUAGUCGAUGGGAAACAGGUUAAUAUUCCUGUACUUGGUGUUACUGCGAAGGGGGGACGGAGAAGGCUAUGUUGGCCGGGCGACGGUUGUCCCGGUUUAAGCGUGUAGGCUGGUUUUCCAGGCAAAUCCGGAAAAUCAAGGCUGAGGCGUGAUGACGAGGCACUACGGUGCUGAAGCAACAAAUGCCCUGCUUCCAGGAAAAGCCUCUAAGCAUCAGGUAACAUCAAAUCGUACCCCAAACCGACACAGGUGGUCAGGUAGAGAAUACCAAGGCGCUUGAGAGAACUCGGGUGAAGGAACUAGGCAAAAUGGUGCCGUAACUUCGGGAGAAGGCACGCUGAUAUGUAGGUGAAGUCCCUCGCGGAUGGAGCUGAAAUCAGUCGAAGAUACCAGCUGGCUGCAACUGUUUAUUAAAAACACAGCACUGUGCAAACACGAAAGUGGACGUAUACGGUGUGACGCCUGCCCGGUGCCGGAAGGUUAAUUGAUGGGGUUAGCGCAAGCGAAGCUCUUGAUCGAAGCCCCGGUAAACGGCGGCCGUAACUAUAACGGUCCUAAGGUAGCGAAAUUCCUUGUCGGGUAAGUUCCGACCUGCACGAAUGGCGUAAUGAUGGCCAGGCUGUCUCCACCCGAGACUCAGUGAAAUUGAACUCGCUGUGAAGAUGCAGUGUACCCGCGGCAAGACGGAAAGACCCCGUGAACCUUUACUAUAGCUUGACACUGAACAUUGAGCCUUGAUGUGUAGGAUAGGUGGGAGGCUUUGAAGUGUGGACGCCAGUCUGCAUGGAGCCGACCUUGAAAUACCACCCUUUAAUGUUUGAUGUUCUAACGUUGACCCGUAAUCCGGGUUGCGGACAGUGUCUGGUGGGUAGUUUGACUGGGGCGGUCUCCUCCUAAAGAGUAACGGAGGAGCACGAAGGUUGGCUAAUCCUGGUCGGACAUCAGGAGGUUAGUGCAAUGGCAUAAGCCAGCUUGACUGCGAGCGUGACGGCGCGAGCAGGUGCGAAAGCAGGUCAUAGUGAUCCGGUGGUUCUGAAUGGAAGGGCCAUCGCUCAACGGAUAAAAGGUACUCCGGGGAUAACAGGCUGAUACCGCCCAAGAGUUCAUAUCGACGGCGGUGUUUGGCACCUCGAUGUCGGCUCAUCACAUCCUGGGGCUGAAGUAGGUCCCAAGGGUAUGGCUGUUCGCCAUUUAAAGUGGUACGCGAGCUGGGUUUAGAACGUCGUGAGACAGUUCGGUCCCUAUCUGCCGUGGGCGCUGGAGAAUUGAGGGGGGCUGCUCCUAGUACGAGAGGACCGGAGUGGACGCAUCACUGGUGUUCGGGUUGUCAUGCCAAUGGCAUUGCCCGGUAGCUAAAUGCGGAAGAGAUAAGUGCUGAAAGCAUCUAAGCACGAAACUUGCCCCGAGAUGAGUUCUCCCUGACUCCUUGAGAGUCCUGAAGGAACGUUGAAGACGACGACGUUGAUAGGCCGGGUGUGUAAGCGCAGCGAUGCGUUGAGCUAACCGGUACUAAUGAACCGUGAGGCUUAACCUUACAACGCCGAAG
RNAcentral lists this ribosomal RNA (2925 nucleotides) under Escherichia coli. RNAcentral describes it as "23S ribosomal RNA". It matches the Rfam family "Bacterial large subunit ribosomal RNA". The record is from RNAcentral. Lineage: Bacteria; Pseudomonadati; Pseudomonadota; Gammaproteobacteria; Enterobacterales; Enterobacteriaceae.